CCUAAAUGGAGUGGCUAUGGUGCCCCUGACUUGUCGGGGGUGAAAAGGGAAGCCGGUGCGAAUCCGGCGCUGCCCCCGCAACUGUAAGCGGCAAGCAAGGUUGAGGACGCCACUGGGAAACCGGGAAGGCCAGCCGAGCGAAAACCCGCGAGCCAGGAGACCUGCCAUGGCAUGCGAACGACA
RNAcentral lists this non-coding RNA (183 nucleotides) under Paracoccus saliphilus. The record is from RNAcentral. Lineage: Bacteria; Pseudomonadati; Pseudomonadota; Alphaproteobacteria; Rhodobacterales; Paracoccaceae.